RNAcentral lists this long non-coding RNA (703 nucleotides) under Helianthus annuus (common sunflower). RNAcentral's name for it is "sRNA HanXRQr2_Chr03g0113111". Lineage: Eukaryota; Viridiplantae; Streptophyta; Magnoliopsida; Asterales; Asteraceae. The record is from RNAcentral.
ACAAAGGGCUUGCUCUACCAUAUACCAAGCUAGUUUUUUCCGAUACUAUAUACUUGGUCGAUGCAAUGGAGGAUGGAAAAUAAUUGUGGAAGACUAUAAGUCUGCUCUUGGAUCUAGUAACAUCAGUGUGAAAGGAGUUGGACCAUUUGGAGCGUGGUUUUCUUUAAAAUCGAUGUCGCACUUGAUAACUAUGUUUCUUUAGAAACAAAACAAAAAAAAAAAAAAAAAAGAAAAAAAAAAAACAUGGCUAGAGUUGUUGAGGGUUACCAGAGGUAUUUCAUUAACUUUUUUUUAGUAAUUUCACUCCUUAUUGGGUCAAUCAAGUAAUUUCACUCUUUAUUAGUAAUUUACAUCUUAACAUAUGUGCAUAUAAGUUGAUUAUUGCAGCCUUUCAAGAGGCAUGUUGAGAUGGGAAGAAUCACUCUCGUUGGCUACGGAAAUAAGUUAUUGAUCAAAACAGGGUAUAUUCAUUGUGUUACUAGUUUGAUUUGAUUAUCGACAACUGUUGUAUGUUUAUUUAGGUUUUUGUGUUUGUGUUUGUAUGUGUGGUUUUAGAUUAGUUAAAUGGUUGUUUAAGGAUUGAUUUGAUUGUUUUGGAGUUAAGGGGACAGGAUAUUGGGAGUGUUUGAUGAUUCAGGUCAUUUUGAUUUUGAAAGGUAGUAAUGUUAAACUGUUAAUGUACUGGUUGAUUUCUACGAGUUAG